CAGCCGCCGCGGUAAUACGAAGGGUGCAAGCGUUACUCGGAAUUACUGGGCGUAAAGCGUGCGUAGGCGGCUUUUUAAGUCGGAUGUGAAAUCCCUGAGCUUAACUUAGGAAUUGCAUUCGAUACUGGGAAGCUAGAGUAUGGGAGAGGAUGGUAGAAUUCCAGGUGUAGCGGUGAAAUGCGUAGAGAUCUGGAGGAAUACCGAUGGCGAAGGCAGCCAUCUGGCCUAAUACUGACGCUGAGGUACGAAAGCAUGGGGAGCAAACAGGAUUAGAUACCCGAGUAGUCCCUGUCUCUUAUAC
This 301-nucleotide ribosomal RNA is filed under the name uncultured bacterium. Its description in RNAcentral is "partial 16S ribosomal RNA". It matches the Rfam family "Bacterial small subunit ribosomal RNA", at positions 509 to 807 of the family's 1533-position model. The record is from RNAcentral.